UUAAGUGACUAAGCGUACAUGGUGGAUGCCUUGGCAGUCAGAGGCGAUGAAGGACGUACUAACCUGCGAUAAGCUGUGAGAAGUCGGUAAGAGACGCUAUUACUCACAGAUUUCCGAAUGGGGAAACCCACCCGAGAUAACUCGGGUAUCUGUUACUGAAUACAUAGGUAACAGAGGCGAACCGGGAGAACUGAAACAUCUAAGUACCCCGAGGAAAAGAAAUCAACCGAGAUUCCCUCAGUAGCGGCGAGCGAACGGGGAUUAGCCCUUAAGCAUCUUGGAAGUUAGUGGAACGGUCCUGGAAAGGCCGGCGAUACAGGGUGAUAGCCCCGUACACGAAAACAACCUUGAUGUGAAAUCGAGUAGGGCGGGACACGUGACAUCCUGUCUGAAUAUGGGGGGACCAUCCUCCAAGGCUAAAUACUCCUGACUGACCGAUAGUGAACCAGUACCGUGAGGGAAAGGCGAAAAGAACCCCUGUGAGGGGAGUGAAAUAGAACCUGAAACCGUGUACGUACAAGCAGUGGGAGCCCUUCGGGGUGACUGCGUACCUUUUGUAUAAUGGGUCAGCGACUUACAUUUUGUAGCGAGGUUAACCGUAUAGGGGAGCCGUAGGGAAACCGAGUCUUAACUGGGCGUCUAGUUGCAAGGUGUAGACCCGAAACCGGGUGAUCUAGCCAUGGGCAGGUUGAAGGUUGAGUAACAUCAACUGGAGGACCGAACCCACUAACGUUGCAAAGUUAGGGGAUGACCUGUGGCUGGGGGUGAAAGGCCAAUCAAACUCGGAGAUAGCUGGUUCUCCCCGAAAGCUAUUUAGGUAGCGCCUCGGACGAAUACUACUGGGGGUAGAGCACUGUUUGGGCUAGGGGGUCAUCCCGACUUACCAACCCCAUGCAAACUCCGAAUACCAGUAAGUAAUAUCCGGGAGACACACGGCGGGUGCUAACGUCCGUCGUGAAGAGGGAAACAACCCAGACCGCCGGCUAAGGUCCCAAAGUUCUGGUUAAGUGGGAAACGAUGUGGGAAGGCUCAGACAGCUAGGAUGUUGGCUUAGAAGCAGCCAUCAUUUAAAGAAAGCGUAAUAGCUCACUAGUCGAGUCGGCCUGCGCGGAAGAUGUAACGGGGCUCAAACCAGGCACCGAAGCCGCGGAUUCACACUUAUGUGUGAGUGGUAGGGGAGCGUUCUGUAAGUCUGCGAAGGUGUAUCGAGAGGUAUGCUGGAGAUAUCAGAAGUGCGAAUGCUGACGUAAGUAACGAUAAAGGGGGUGAAAAGCCUCCUCGCCGGAAGACCAAGGGUUCCUGUCCAACGUUAAUCGGGGCAGGGUGAGUCGACCCCUAAGGCGAGGCCGAAAGGCGUAGUCGAUGGGAAGCAGGUUAAUAUUCCUGCACGACUUGUAAUUGCGAUGGGGGGACGGAGAAGGCUAGGUGGGCCAGGCGACGGUUGUCCUGGUGAAAGUGCGUAGGUGGUGUUUCUAGGCAAAUCCGGAGACACAACACUGAGACACGAGACGAACACACUACGGUGUGGAAGCCAUUGAUGCCCUGCUUCCAGGAAAAGCCUCUAAGCUUCAGAUUACAAGUCAUCGUACCCCAAACCGACACAGGUGGUCGGGUAGAGAAUACCAAGGCGCUUGAGAGAACUCGGGUGAAGGAACUAGGCAAAAUAGAACCGUAACUUCGGGAGAAGGUUCGCUCUUGACAGUGAAGUCCCUUGCGGAUGGAGCAGUUGGGAGUCGCAGUGACCAGAUGGCUGGGACUGUUUAUCAAAAACACAGCACUCUGCAAACACGAAAGUGGACGUAUAGGGUGUGACACCUGCCCGGUGCCGGAAGGUUAAUUGAUGGGGUUAGCGCAAGCGAAGCUCUUGAUCGAAGCCCCGGUAAACGGCGGCCGUAACUAUAACGGUCCUAAGGUAGCGAAAUUCCUUGUCGGGU
Molecule: ribosomal RNA, 1934 nt
Filed under: metagenome
Description: bacterial LSU rRNA
Rfam family: Bacterial large subunit ribosomal RNA
Source: RNAcentral